CGUCGCACCGCCGCCCGUUCCGAGCUCCGCGAGGUCGAUCCGCUCUGUCGCCAUCGCCCCUAGAUCAGAUCAGUACCUGCCGCCGCCAUUGCCGUCGACCGCCGGCCGGAGUCCCGCGACCCAAUCCUAACGCGCGGGAACUCAUUCAUCAUCUUGCCAUCGUGCGUUCCGAGCUCGGCAUGGUGAUCCACUCCCGUCGUCAUUGCCCACAGGAGCUUCUUCGAUGGUGUAGCAUUCGGGCGGAUCCGGCACGGCGGCCCACUUUGGUCCAGCUGCACGCGAUGUGUGGUAGAAGCAUCCCCAGGCCCCUGCCCAGCAAUCUGCUCUUCUGAUGGAUGAGAUAGUACAUGAAUUUUGGCUGUCGAUUGUUGCAAUCAUGGAGUUGCAGGAUAUUUUUCCUAUUUCCCAUUUGAUUCCGUGAGGCAGCACACCAGGGUGUGGAAAUCAAGGUUA
This is a long non-coding RNA of Panicum virgatum (switchgrass), 453 nucleotides long. RefSeq lists it as uncharacterized. Lineage: Eukaryota; Viridiplantae; Streptophyta; Magnoliopsida; Poales; Poaceae. The transcript has 3 exons. The record is from RefSeq and is a predicted model, not a curated record.